CGUCAAACAUACACAGCCAAGGGAUCCAAAAGGAGGGAGGUCAUGAUGGAUGCAGGUACUCAAGCAGCUGCCCAGAGCUGAAUCUCCACUGCCUCAGCCAAAGCCCCCAAAGUGGUUCUGACCUCUCCAGUUUAGCCUGCUGUAGAGCGGUUUCACUACGGAUGCCAGCCACCUGUCUGUUCUCCUGAGAGGCUAUGCCACUGACACCAGCCACCUGUUUGCCCUACUUCAAGCAGAUCCUGCCUUCACUUUUGGUUAGCCUAUUGGCCUCAGCUUCCUGCCUGGCUCUGUGGCCAUCCUCCUGAGCACCCUCUGUUUUCUGCCUGACUCCAUGAACAUCCUCUGUUCUUUGCCUGGUCCCCAGGUCAUCCUCCAGAGUUCCCUGCCUGGUCCUGAGUACCUCACCUAGAGUGGCUUCAACUCUCUGCCUGCUUCAGUGGGCAUUUCUUUGAACUGUGGACUUUUUUGACUAUCCUGGUUACCUAUAUUUCCAGAUCAUUGCAUUGUUCCCUGGCUGUGCUGUUUAGUUGUUAGUUUUCUUUAGAUGUCUUGUGUUACAGUUUGUCAAGUAGUGCUCUUCAGAUUCUUUUUGUUUCAUGUUACUUAUAUUAAACCUUACUAAUCAGA
Molecule: long non-coding RNA, 627 nt
Organism: Monopterus albus (swamp eel)
Lineage: Eukaryota; Metazoa; Chordata; Actinopteri; Synbranchiformes; Synbranchidae
Exons: 2
Source: RefSeq, a predicted model, not a curated record